Carassius gibelio (silver crucian carp) is the source of this 3634-nucleotide long non-coding RNA. RefSeq lists it as uncharacterized. The record is from RefSeq and is a predicted model, not a curated record. NCBI's taxonomy places the organism in Eukaryota, Metazoa, Chordata, Actinopteri, Cypriniformes, Cyprinidae. The transcript has 3 exons.
GCCGGCCACACACACACACACACACACACACACACACACAUGAUCUCCUCUGUGAGCUCGUGUCAGCUACAAGCACGAAAACUUACCUUCCCAACAGCAUUCUGUAGUCCUGGCUACACAUAUUAGAGUUUGUGUUAAAAUUUUACAUCAUAAUUUCUUUACUGUUGUUUUAAAGAAAUACAGUCGUAGCAUUUUAUCACAAGAAUAACAAAAAUUUUGUUAUUAGCUAAAUUGCAUUUGUUAUUAGGGAUGUAACUAUUCAGUCAACUCUAGAUUCUAUUCACAAUUUUAUAAAUUUUUUUAACAAAAUGAGAUUUAAGACAAAUUAUAAAUUAAAUGUUUCCUUUUAUUAUUGCUUGGAUAAAAUACUAUACACUUUGUAAAAUGGAAUAUAACACUAAUUAAUUAAAUACUAAUGUAGCAUGUGCAUAUUAUUGCUCUUUUGUUGGUUUGCUUCUGUUCUCAUUUGUAUGUUGCUUUGCAUAAGUGUUUGCUAAAAAGCAAAAUUUUUAUAUAAUGUAAAUAACAAAAAUUUAAUUUACAUUUUAAAGUGAGCCCCAAGUCAUAAGUGACACAAAUAAAAUAAAUAUCUUCAUAUAAACAAACUAAGAUUUUGUCUGUGCUCUUACAUUUAAAAUAAGAGACAACCACUGUAUUUUAAUCAUGAUCCACACAAAGAUGCGGGUGGAGCUUAAAGUGUUUCCUUGGUAACCGUUGUAAACAAAGCACUUAUGAACACCGCAUCAGGUGGAGCUUAAAGUGUUUCCUUGGUUACCGCUGUAAACAAAGCACCUAUGAACACCGCAACAGGUGGAGCUUAAAGUGUUUCCUCGGUUACCGCUGUAAACAAAGCACUUAUGAACACCGCAGCAGGUGGAGCUUAAAGUGUUUCCUCGGUUACCGCUGUAAACAAAGCACCUAUGAACACCUCAACAGGUGGAGCUUAAAGCGUUUCCUCGGUUACCGCUGUAAACAAAGCACCUAUGAACACCUCAACAGGUGGAGCUUAAAGUGUUUCCUCGGUUACCGCUGUAAACAAAGCAGCGCUGCACUUAUGAACUUUAAUAUGUAUUAUACAGAGGAAGAUGAAAAGAAAAAAUACCAUCUAAACUUUUCUAUAGACAGUAAGUUCUUCUCAGACAUACGUUAACACCUACCCCUAAAUGAAUGACUAUUUGUUUAGCAUCUCAACCGAUUUGAGUCGUCACACAUUUGAACGGAUUUUCAACCUGCUCACGGUUAAUCAUUACAUCCAUAUUUAUUAUUAUACAUAUUAGCAUAUAAAAAAAAUUGUGUACAAAAUAUACAAAACAACCCACCAAACCUUGCAUACAAAUACAGCACAACAAAUAAACCAAGCUCAAUACAAUUUUAUAGGAAAAAGAAAACACCAACAAAACUAUAUUUGUUAACAUUUAUGCAUUUAGCAUUCACUUUUAUCCAAAGCGACUUACAGUACAAAACAUAUGUAUAAAUGAUAUGUAAUUUAUACAGAAACGAGCUGGCAGUGUCACUCGAAUCAUUUUAGUUUUUAGCUAAAUGUUUCCAGAUCUUGUCAAAAGUCUGAAGCUAAUUCUUUGCUCUCAUGGUACUGCUCUACGGAUCCGAAUUUACCAAGAUUUUAUGUUUAAUUUCUUUUAUAUUUUCAGUUUUGGAAAAUAUUUCACUACCACAAAACAGUUCAACAGUGGCUCAACAUAUAUCGAGGAUGAACUCUGAAGUGAAAUGUCAUCUAGGAUGCAUAAUUGCUCUAAUAAAGCAAUGGGACUUAAACAUGCACUUAGUAGCAUGAACUUCCUGUUUUUACAUUCAGGCGUUCCUUGACCUCCUGUCCAAGGUGUCUGUAGGUCUUAAAAGUCUCAUUUCACCAUUUCACAAAUGAAGACCCUAAAUCAGAGCAGAAAGUCUUAAAUUGCUAAAGUUAUGGCAUUAAAUGUUGCACGCACCGCACUGCAAAUAAUGAACAUCAAACUCUAAACAUCCUUAAAUCAAGAUGCAAAAUGAGGAUAUGCAGUCUUAUGAUUUAAACAAGCAAAUAUCUGUCAGUGUGGAAUUCAAAUUAGUUUUACUUUUGAAUUAAGUUCAUUUUUUUUGGCAGGUAUUACUCUGUUUUUUAUAAUAAGCUCAUUUUGCAUAGAAUUGCACAGAAAUCAAGGCUUCGGGGGAAUAAUAAUAUUAUUUAAAAUGAAAGAACACAGUGUUCAAACCUUUGAAAUUAAAUCAGAAAUACAUAAAGUUGUUACAUAGAUGUUUGGUUGCAUAUUCGUGUACUUUCUUCUACACAUUGCAAGAAGAAGAAUGACUGAUAUUUGCUAGAUAAUGUCAUGGAGAAACAUCCUGACCUCGCUGUCAGUGUAACAGAAAUCAAAGACACAGUGUGAAGCAGCGUGUGAAAGGGUCGCAGUAAUGCUAAGGCCACAAGAAGCUUACGAAAGCUCUUCGUUCUGAUCAAUAAACACUCGCACACCCAUCUUUUUGCUGGCUUUAUCUCUCCAUCAUGUCCAAGUCAAGGUUUCUUCCAUGCUAGAGAGGGUUAGAGAGAGAACAAUGACUCUAAUGUUCACGUUUGACAGAGAGCGACGCUAGAUCACUUCUGAGAUCAGAUUGAGCUCAUCAGAAGUGUCCAGGCUUUAUGAAGCGCUCGCUCAGUGCUGUAAACGCAGCAGGUGAAGACGCCUGAUCUGUAGGUCACUCACGUGUUUCCUGGCGGAGGAGGAGGGGUUAAUCUCAUGGUGGGGCAGAAGUAGGACAGCGUUUGCUGGAAGGAAGUGUCCCGGCCCUGAGGUUCAUGUUCAUUCAGACGUCAGGAAAUCCUUGUCAGCAGCGGAAAAUAAAUAUGAAGGCUGAUCAGUCAUCUUUAUCUCAGACUUUGAGUUCCCUUGAAGGGGUGGGACGUCCAAAAUGAUGUCGGAUACUGUGGAGACCUUCAGAUUAGCAUUUUAAGAAACUGAUUUACAAAUCCAUUCAUUAAAAAGAACAAUUCAUUCAGGAUUCAGGAUUUAUUCAGUUUUCAGUAAGUUCGCUAACUAAAACUAUUUUUUAAAAAAAUUGUUGAUUGAAAUAAAGCUAAAAUAUUAAUAUAAGAUGACAAACUUAAUUUAAUGUAGUUCUUAAGGCAAGAUUUCAAUACAAGUUGAAUAAAAAAUAUAACAGUAUAUAAAUAAUAGUAAGCCCUAAAUAGUAAUCAUUUGAACAAAAUUUUUAAAAUUAAAAUGAAAACUGAAAAUAUAUGUAAAACUUUUCCUGUUUUUAGCUGGCUUUGUUUACUAAAACUAUUAAAUUAGAUUAAACACUUAAUUAUUAUUAGUUGUCAACAUUUCUAAUUUUCAUUUAGUUUAAGCAUUAAAAUGACUAACUGUAAAUAAUAAAAAAGAAAACUGAAAUAAAAAAUAAACCUAAAUAGUAAUUAUUAAGAAUAAUUCAUUGUUUUUCUUUUAUUCAAAUAAAACUGGAAUAAAAUAUAAAUAUUAGAUGAAAGACUUGAGUUUACAAAUAAUGUCAAAAUCACAUAAAACAAGAUAAAAUCACUAAAAUUUAACUAAAAUUUAAAUGAAACUGAAAGUACAAAAAUAAAAGCUGUCGCAGUAUAUGAAUAGUAGUUCAAUAACAGCAGUGAGUGUUGAUGUGCUUGUCU